UACGAAGGGGGCUAGCGUUGCUCGGAAUCACUGGGCGUAAAGCGCACGUAGGCGGAUCGUUAAGUCAGGGGUGAAAUCCUGGAGCUCAACUCCAGAACUGCCUUUGAUACUGGCGACCUUGAGUUCGGGAGAGGUGAGUGGAACUGCGAGUGUAGAGGUGAAAUUCGUAGAUAUUCGCAAGAACACCAGUGGCGAAGGCGGCUCACUGGCCCGGAACUGACGCUGAGACGCGAAAGCGUGGGGAGCAAACAGG
Molecule: ribosomal RNA, 253 nt
Filed under: uncultured bacterium
Lineage: Bacteria
Description: partial 16S ribosomal RNA
Rfam family: Bacterial small subunit ribosomal RNA
Source: RNAcentral